AUACGGAGGGUGCAAGCGUUAAUCGGAAUUACUGGGCGUAAAGCGCGCGUAGGCGGCUUUGUAAGUCGGAUGUGAAAGCCCUGGGCUCAACCUGGGAAUUGCACUCGAUACUGCAGAGCUAGAGUAUGGUAGAGGGAAGUGGAAUUUCCGGUGUAGCGGUGAAAUGCGUAGAUAUCGGAAGGAACACCAGUGGCGAAGGCGACUUCCUGGGCCAAUACUGACGCUGAGGUGCGAAAGCGUGGGGAGCAAACAGGAUUAGAAACCCCUGUAGUCC
This 274-nucleotide ribosomal RNA is filed under the name uncultured bacterium. Its description in RNAcentral is "partial 16S ribosomal RNA". It matches the Rfam family "Bacterial small subunit ribosomal RNA", at positions 523 to 796 of the family's 1533-position model. The record is from RNAcentral.